AGGGAAUAUUGGACAAUGGAGGCAACUCUGAUCCAGCCAUGCCGCGUGGAGGAUGACUGCCCUCUGGGUUGUAAACUCCUUUUGUACAGGAAGAAACCUCCUCAUUUAUGAGUGAGCUGACGGUACUGUAAGAAUAAGCACCGGCUAACUCCGUGCCAGCAGCCGCGGUAAUACGGAGGGUGCAAGCGUUAUCCGGAUUUACUGGGUUUAAAGGGUGCGUAGGCGGUUUUAUAAGUCAGUGGUGAAAUCAACGGGCUCAACCUGUUAACUGCCAUUGAUACUGUAGGACUUGAAUUUGGUAGAGGUAGGCGGAAUGAUGCAUGUAGCGGUGAAAUGCUUAGAUAUGCUUCGGAACACCGAUUGCGAAGGCAGCUUACUAUGUCAAUAUUGACGCUGAUGCACGAAAGCGUGGGUAGCGAAC
RNAcentral lists this ribosomal RNA (421 nucleotides) under uncultured bacterium. RNAcentral describes it as "bacterial SSU rRNA". It matches the Rfam family "Bacterial small subunit ribosomal RNA", at positions 356 to 773 of the family's 1533-position model. The record is from RNAcentral.